This 91-nucleotide non-coding RNA is filed under the name Escherichia coli. RNAcentral describes it as "small regulatory RNA GadF". The stretch from base 20 to 91 matches the Rfam family "ES205 sRNA". From Rfam's summary of the family: Differentially expressed under several chemical stress and fermentation conditions. RNAcentral also lists the same sequence under 1 other name. Lineage: Bacteria; Pseudomonadati; Pseudomonadota; Gammaproteobacteria; Enterobacterales; Enterobacteriaceae. The record is from RNAcentral.
CUUUAUUCCCCUGGUAUGUGUAUCCACCAGUAGAACCCUUCGUUGCCCGAAUGCUGGCAGGAACUGUUGGCAGAACGGCAACAUUUUUUUU